AACAAGUUCCUGGAAUGCAACUAUGCUCGAGAAUAUCUACCGGGAAGAUCUAAAGUCUGCUGAUCAGUUUCUUUGGAGUAUUCUCUCUCGGAAAUGAGUUCUGCAAACCACACAGGAAAGGUAAAUCGCACUGGGAAGAUUAUAUGUGACGGGUUUAACCAAGAAGAUGGUGUUGGCAAGAAUCGAAUUCGGAACUUUCUAGUACGAGAAUCAUGUUACACUCACUCGACUAUCCAUUUGAGGCGGACCAUUGUCAUUUUGAUGUGUGGUGUAUGGCAGUUCUUGUUGAUUAAGGCCCUAAUUCUUACAAAAUUUCUUUCUUUCACAUUGUGGCUCCCCAUAGUCCCUUUCCUUCUUGUAUUGACAGGUGAAAGGUGACUAGUUAGGAAUAAAAAAUUGUACUGAGGACCACUUUCUCCACAAGACUGGCAAGUUAAAUGAUGUGACGGGUUCUGAUAAGUUACUUUUUUUCACGUGAGAAAAAUGAGAAUCAGUACAUAGUAUUUUUCAUUUCAAAUUGGUUGUCACACUAGUUGUUUGCUCGCUUUUUAAGGAAUUAAAGUAAAUGCUAUAUGUUUUCCAAUUAUGCUCCUCACUUUUUGAAAUAAAAGUAAGAAAGAAAGCAAAACUCAUAGUUACUGCGGGUUUUUCUCGUAAUAACACAUAUACUUCGUAUUA
Long non-coding RNA from Ipomoea nil (Japanese morning glory), 678 nucleotides. RefSeq lists it as uncharacterized. The record is from RefSeq and is a predicted model, not a curated record. The transcript has 2 exons. Lineage: Eukaryota; Viridiplantae; Streptophyta; Magnoliopsida; Solanales; Convolvulaceae.